This is a non-coding RNA of Asterophora parasitica, 79 nucleotides long. NCBI's taxonomy places the organism in Eukaryota, Fungi, Basidiomycota, Agaricomycetes, Agaricales, Lyophyllaceae. The record is from the annotation of a GenBank genome assembly.
GGUUCAAUGGUCUAGUGGUUAUGAUUUCUGUCUCACACUAGUGCACAGAAGGUCCCCAGUUCGACCCUGGGUUGAACCA